GAACGGUAAUACCGCAUAAUGUAUUUUGACCGCAUGAUCGAAAUACCAAAGAUUUAUCGCUGAAGGAUGGACUCGCGUCUGAUUAGGUAGUUGGUGGGGUAACGGCCUACCAAGCCGACGAUCAGUAGCCGGACUGAGAGGUUGAUCGGCCACAUUGGGACUGAGACACGGCCCAGACUCCUACGGGAGGCAGCAGUGGGGAAUAUUGCACAAUGGGCGCAAGCCUGAUGCAGCAACGCCGCGUGAAGGAAGACGGUUUUCGGAUUGUAAACUUCUGUUCUUAGUGAAGAAUAAUGACGGUAGCUAAGGAGCAAGCCACGGCUAACUACGUGCCAGCAGCCGCGGUAAUACGUAGGUGGCAAGCGUUGUCCGGAAUUACUGGGUGUAAAGGGAGCGCAGGCGGGUGAUCAAGUCAGCUGUGAAAACUACGGGCUUAACCCGUAGACUGCAGUUGAAACUGUUCAUCUUGAGUGAAGUAGAGGUUGGCGGAAUUCCGAGUGUAGCGGUGAAAUGCGCAGAUAUUCGGAGGAACACCGGUGGCGAAGGCGGCCAACUGGGCUUUAACUGACGCUGAGGCUCGAAAGUGUGGGGAGCAAACAGGAU
This 603-nucleotide ribosomal RNA is filed under the name uncultured bacterium. RNAcentral's name for it is "bacterial SSU rRNA". It matches the Rfam family "Bacterial small subunit ribosomal RNA", at positions 158 to 778 of the family's 1533-position model. The record is from RNAcentral.